CGUAGGGUGCAAGCGUUAAUCGGAAUUACUGGGGCGUAAAAGCGUGCGCAGGCGGUUCGGAAAGAAGAUGUGAAAUCCCAGAGCUUAACUUGGAACUGCAUUUUUAACUACCGAGCUAGAGUGUGUCAGAGGGAGGUGGAAUUCCGGCGUGUAGCAGUGAAAUGCGUAGAUAUGCGGAGGAACACCGAUGGCGAAGGCAGCCUCCUGGGAUAACACUGACGCUCAUGCACGAAAGCGUGGGAGCAAACGAGGAUU
This 255-nucleotide ribosomal RNA is filed under the name uncultured bacterium. RNAcentral describes it as "partial 16S ribosomal RNA". It matches the Rfam family "Bacterial small subunit ribosomal RNA", at positions 526 to 779 of the family's 1533-position model. The record is from RNAcentral.